This 524-nucleotide ribosomal RNA is filed under the name Sordariomycetes sp. MU-c18_50no.13. Its description in RNAcentral is "eukaryotic LSU rRNA". The stretch from base 285 to 524 matches the Rfam family "Eukaryotic large subunit ribosomal RNA", at positions 1 to 244 of the family's 3401-position model. Lineage: Eukaryota; Fungi; Ascomycota; Sordariomycetes. The record is from RNAcentral.
GGCAUCGAUGAGAACCCAGCGAAAUGCGAUAAGUAAUGGGAAUUGCAGAAUUCAGGAAUUCAUCGAUCUUUGAACGCCAUUGCGCCCAUUAGUAUUCUAGUGGGCAUGCCUGUUCGAGCGUCAUUACAACCCUUAAGCUCAGCUUAGUGUUGGGAGUCUGCCUAGCUGGCAGUUCCUUAAAGACAGUUGGCGGAGUGCAGUGGACUCUGAGUGUAGUAAUUUACUUCCUCGCUUUAGAAGUCCUCUGCGCUACGGCCAGAAACCUAUUGAAUUAUCUCAAUGGUUGACCUCGGAUCAGGUAGGAAUACCCGCUGAACUUAAGCAUAUCAAUAAGCGGAGGAAAAGAAACCAACAGGGAUUGCCCUAGUAACGGCGAGUGAAGCGGCAACAGCUCAAAUUUGAAAUCUGGCCCUCGGGUCCGAAUUGUAAUUUGUAGAGGAUGUUUUUGGUGCGGUACCUUCCGAGUUCCUUGGAACAGGACGCCUUAGAGGGUGAGAGCCCCGUACGGUUGGAUGCCUAGCCUC